Non-coding RNA from Chrysemys picta bellii (western painted turtle), 936 nucleotides. Lineage: Eukaryota; Metazoa; Chordata; Testudines; Emydidae. The record is from RefSeq and is a predicted model, not a curated record.
GUAAACACCAGAGACAAAAGAUAGGUUUUCUAUCUGUGCUGCUCUUUUCUCUCCCCUUUUGUGUGUUUGUCUUGUUUUGUCUUCUAGGAAACAGGAUUGGACUUUAACAGCAGCAGCAAUAACAACAGCUUCAACUCAUCUCAACUAAUCUUUUCUCUUUCCUCCCCAAAAGGAGCCCCAGUGUGGUGCACGUGGACAGGAGAAGUGUUACGUGAUCCUGUACCUGUGACCUGGAGCUGCCCUUGACCAACCAGUCAUCGAGGCAGGGAAAGAUCUGGAACCCCCAACGCCUGAGGGCCUUGCCGUCGAAUGGAAGGUCCUGCAAGGAGUUCUGUGCCUUGCUGGACAAUCCAGACAGCAGGAGCCAUGAUGCUCUCCUCAUGGACACCACGGAGACCGUGGACCUUGCAGCCAUAUCCGCAGCAUCUUAGCUGCCUGAAGGGCUGCCCUGAUGGCAACCGUGCCCUCCUCAACCAGAGCCUUAAACUCCUUAUCACGCUCCUGGAGGGAGUCUGCAAAUUUGGGCAUUGAGCCCCACAAAUUAAAGUUGUAUCUGCCCAGCAGUUUUGGUGGUUUGCCACCCUCAGUUGGAAGCUUGAGGACGAAUAAAUCUUUCUACCGAAUAAAUCUAGUCUUCUUGAGUCCUUAUUCUUAGGAGUAGGAGCGGGUUGACCUUGACGCUCCCUAUGGUUGACCGCGUCGACCACUAGAGAGUUGGGGGCGGGGUGGGUAUACAGAUAUUCGUGCCCCUUGGCGGGCAAGAAAUACUUCCGUUCUGCCCUCUUGGAGAUGGUGGGCAAGGAAGCUGGGGUUUGCCACAGGGUGUUUGAGAUCUUUGCCACCCCUUCAUGCAGUGAGAGAGCCACCCUGGCCAGUGCCGAAGCCAAGAGGACAUUGAAGAGGGAAUCUGAGGGUUCCUCCACCUCCUCAGCUUGU